GGAGUCUGGGCCGUGUCUCAGUCCCAAUGUGGCCGUCCGCCCUCUCAGGCCGGCUACUGAUCGUCGCUUUGGUAGGCCGUUACCCUGCCAACUGGCUAAUCAGACGCGGGCCCAUCCUGUACUGAUAAAUCUUUUCACACUGCACCAUGCGGUGCCGUGCGCUUAUGCGGUAUUAGCAGCCGUUUCCAGCUGUUGUCCCCCGGUACAGGGCAGGUUGCC
Molecule: ribosomal RNA, 219 nt
Filed under: uncultured Lachnospiraceae bacterium
Lineage: Bacteria; Bacillati; Bacillota; Clostridia; Lachnospirales; Lachnospiraceae
Description: partial 16S ribosomal RNA
Source: RNAcentral